CCUACGGGCGGCAGCAGUGGGGAAUAUUGCGCAAUGGGCGAAAGCCUGACGCAGCGACGCCGCGUGAGGGAUGAAGGUCUUCGGAUCGUAAACCUCUGUCAGCAGGGAAGAACGGUCACUGUGCUAAUCAGCAGUGCAUUGACGGUACCUGCAAAGGAAGCACCGGCUAACUCCGUGCCAGCAGCCGCGGUAAUACGGAGGGUGCGAGCGUUAUUCGGAAUUACUGGGCGUAAAGGGUUCGUAGGCGGUAUGACAAGUCAAGGGUGAAAUCCCCGCGCUCAACGUGGGAACUGCCUUUGAAACUGGCAAACUGGAGUGUGUGAGAGGAUAGUGGAAUUCCAGGUGUAGGAGUGAAAUCCGUAGAUAUCUGGAAGAACAUCAGUGGCGAAGGCGACUAUCUGGCACAUAACUGACGCUGAGGAGCGAGAGCGUGGGUAGCAAACAGGAUUAGAUACCCGAGUAGUC
RNAcentral lists this ribosomal RNA (465 nucleotides) under uncultured bacterium. RNAcentral's name for it is "partial 16S ribosomal RNA". It matches the Rfam family "Bacterial small subunit ribosomal RNA", at positions 338 to 795 of the family's 1533-position model. The record is from RNAcentral.